UACGGAGGAUGCAAGCGUUCUCCGGAAUGAUUGGGCGUAAAGCGUCCGCAGGUGGCUCUGUAAGUCUGCUGUUAAAGAGUGAGGCUCAACCUCAUAAGAGCAGUGGAAACUACAUGGCUAGAGUGCGUUCGGGGCAGAGGGAAUUCCUGGUGUAGCGGUGAAAUGCGUAGAGAUCAGGAAGAACACCGGUGGCGAAAGCGCUCUGCUAGGCCGCAACUGACACUCAUGGACGAAAGCUAGGGGAGCGAAUGGG
This 253-nucleotide ribosomal RNA is filed under the name uncultured bacterium. RNAcentral describes it as "partial 16S ribosomal RNA". It matches the Rfam family "Bacterial small subunit ribosomal RNA", at positions 524 to 776 of the family's 1533-position model. The record is from RNAcentral.